This 1357-nucleotide ribosomal RNA is filed under the name metagenome. Its description in RNAcentral is "bacterial SSU rRNA". It matches the Rfam family "Bacterial small subunit ribosomal RNA", at positions 150 to 1498 of the family's 1533-position model. The record is from RNAcentral.
GUGGAAACACAGGGUAAUACUGGAUACGACCUUAUCUGUGAAGGGAUAAGGGGAAAGUCGCUUCGGCGACGUCCGGGGCUGAGUCUGCGGCUCAUUAGCUAGUUGGUCGGGUAAUGGCCUACCAAGGCGACGAUGAGUAGCCGGCCUGAGAGGGUGAUCGGCCACACUGGGACUGAGACACGGCCCAGACUCCUACGGGAGGCAGCAGCUAAGAAUCUUCCGCAAUGGGGGCAACCCUGACGGAGCGACGCCGCGUGAAUGAAGAAGGCCGGAAGGUUGUAAAGUUCUUUUCCUGGGGGAGAAUAAUGAUUGGAGGAAAUGCCAGUCAGAUGACGUGAACCAGGGAAUAAGCCCCGGCUAAUUACGUGCCAGCAGCCGCGGUAACACGUAAGGGGCAAGCGUUGUUCGGAUUUAUUGGGCGUAAAGGGCGUGUAGGCGGUUAAGUGUGUCUGGUGUGAAAGACUCCGGCUCAACCGGAGGGCCGCGCUGGAAACUGCUUAACUAGAGUGAUGGAGGGGGAGCUGGAAUUCCUGGUGUAGGGGUGAAAUCUGUAGAGAUCAGGAAGAACACCGGAGGCGAAGGCGAGCUCCUGGCCAUAUACUGACGCUGAGGCGCGAAAGCGUGGGGAGCGAACAGGAUUAGAUACCCUGGUAGUCCACGCUUUAAACGAUGUGCACUAGGUGUUGGUCCGUUGAGGAUCAGUGCCGUAGCUAACGCGUUAAGUGCACCGCCUGGGGAGUAUGCUCGCAAGGGUGAAACUCAAAGGAAUUGACGGGGGCCCGCACAAGCGGUGGAGCAUGUGGUUUAAUUCGAUAUACGCGAGAAACCUUACCAGGGCUUGACAUAAGCAUGACGGUUGUAGAGAUACAGCUUCUCUUCGGAGCAUGUUUACAGGUGCUGCAUGGCUGUCGUCAGCUCGUGCUGUGAAGUGUUGGGUUAAGUCCCGCAACGAGCGCAACCCUUGCUGUCUGUUGCCAACAGGUAAUGCUGGGGACUCAGACGGUACUGCCGGUGACAAACCGGAGGAAGGUGGGGACGACGUCAAGUCAUCAUGGCCCUUAUGUCCUGGGCUACACACGUGCUACAAUGGCCGGUACAGAGCGACGCGAAACCGCGAGGUGGAGCAAAUCGCAGAAAACCGGUCCCAGUUCGGAUUGAAGUCUGAAACCCGACUUCAUGAAGGUGGAAUCGCUAGUAAUCGCGCAUCAGCAUGGCGCGGUGAAUAUGUUCCCGGGCCUUGUACACACCGCCCGUCACACCACCCGAGUUGGGGGUACCCGAAGUCGCUCGUCUAACCUGUAAGGGAGGACGGUGCCGAAGGUAUGCCUGGUAAGGGGGGUGAAGUCGUAACAAGGUA